This 534-nucleotide ribosomal RNA is filed under the name Triticum aestivum (bread wheat). RNAcentral's name for it is "partial small subunit ribosomal RNA". Lineage: Eukaryota; Viridiplantae; Streptophyta; Magnoliopsida; Poales; Poaceae. The record is from RNAcentral.
AUGGCUGCUGGCCGCCCUAUCUCGCUGCUGCCACGACAAGAUGGCAGGGGCCUCGUGCCGUUGCUAAGCCACAUGGCGAACGCGCGGGCCGCCUUCGACAUGGAGGACUUGUUUGGGAGGCUCGUGCUCGACAUCACUGUGAUAGCAGUGUUUGGCUGGGAUCCGUGCCGCUUGGCCGUGUCGAUGCCACACAUGCACGUUGCCGAGGCCCUGGAUACUCUCAUGGAGGUGGCCAUGCGCCGGCACAUAUUGCCUUUGUCCUGCUGGAGAACGAUGAGAUGGCUCAACAUCGGCCAGGAGAGAAAGCUAGCAGAGGUGGAAGCGGUGUUGUACGGGUUUGUGGUGGAUAGCAUUCAGAGAAAGAUGGCCGGCGACGGCACGAGCACCGAGGAUGACAUCCUGUCCCAUUACGUCGACGACCCCAACCCGGACCCGGAGUUUCUUAACUGGGCCAGAGAGCCCACUGACUUCCUGAUCAGUCCAACACCGGACCGAGGGCAUGCCUCGGCAAGAACAUCUCCGUGGCGCUGGUGA